Molecule: ribosomal RNA, 166 nt
Filed under: Carex maritima
Lineage: Eukaryota; Viridiplantae; Streptophyta; Magnoliopsida; Poales; Cyperaceae
Description: 5.8S ribosomal RNA
Source: RNAcentral
GGACCCUCCCGAGGGCACGCCUGCCUCAUGGGCGUUAGAAGCCCAUCCACGCUCGGUUGCCUCAUGGCAAAGAUGCGGACAUUGGCCCUCCGAACCGCGAGGUGCGGUGGGCCUAAGUGUGCGGCCGUCGUAUGUGGCCGGGAGCGGCGAGUGUUGGGCUACUGCG